Molecule: ribosomal RNA, 232 nt
Filed under: uncultured Gardnerella sp.
Lineage: Bacteria; Bacillati; Actinomycetota; Actinomycetes; Bifidobacteriales; Bifidobacteriaceae
Description: partial 16S ribosomal RNA
Rfam family: Bacterial small subunit ribosomal RNA
Source: RNAcentral
ACACUGCCCCAUGCUCCAGAAUAGCUCUUGGAAACGGGUGGUAAUGCUGGAUGCUCCAACUUGACGCAUGUCUUGUUGGGAAAGUGUUUAGUGGCAUGGGAUGGGGUCGCGUCCUAUCAGCUUGUAGGCGGGGUAAUGGCCCACCUAGGCUUCGACGGGUAGCCGGCCUGAGAGGGCGGACGGCCACAUUGGGACUGAGAUACGGCCCAGACUCCUACGGGAGGCAGCAGCU